AUUGAACGCUAGCGGGAUGCCUUACACAUGCAAGUCGAACGGCAGCACGGACUUCGGUCUGGUGGCGAGUGGCGAACGGGUGAGUAAUGUAUCGGAACGUGCCUAGUAGCGGGGGAUAACUACGCGAAAGCGUAGCUAAUACCGCAUACGCCCUACGGGGGAAAGCAGGGGAUCGCAAGACCUUGCACUAUUAGAGCGGCCGAUAUCGGAUUAGCUAGUUGGUGGGGUAACGGCUCACCAAGGCGACGAUCCGUAGCUGGUUUGAGAGGACGACCAGCCACACUGGGACUGAGACACGGCCCAGACUCCUACGGGAGGCAGCAGUGGGGAAUUUUGGACAAUGGGGGAAACCCUGAUCCAGCCAUCCCGCGUGUGCGAUGAAGGCCUUCGGGUUGUAAAGCACUUUUGGCAGGAAAGAAACGUCAUGGGUUAAUACCCCGUGAAACUGACGGUACCUGCAGAAUAAGCACCGGCUAACUACGUGCCAGCAGCCGCGGUAAUACGUAGGGUGCAAGCGUUAAUCGGAAUUACUGGGCGUAAAGCGUGCGCAGGCGGUUCGGAAAGAAAGAUGUGAAAUCCCAGAGCUUAACUUUGGAACUGCAUUUUUAACUACCGAGCUAGAGUGUGUCAGAGGGAGGUGGAGUUCCGCGUGUAGCAGUGAAAUGCGUAGAUAUGCGGAGGAACACCGAUGGCGAAGGCAGCCUCCUGGGAUAACACUGACGCUCAUGCACGAAAGCGUGGGGAGCAAACAGG
RNAcentral lists this ribosomal RNA (753 nucleotides) under uncultured Achromobacter sp. RNAcentral describes it as "bacterial SSU rRNA". It matches the Rfam family "Bacterial small subunit ribosomal RNA", at positions 28 to 776 of the family's 1533-position model. The record is from RNAcentral. Lineage: Bacteria; Pseudomonadati; Pseudomonadota; Betaproteobacteria; Burkholderiales; Alcaligenaceae.